This is a non-coding RNA of Pelobates cultripes (western spadefoot toad), 295 nucleotides long. The record is from the annotation of a GenBank genome assembly. Lineage: Eukaryota; Metazoa; Chordata; Amphibia; Anura; Pelobatidae.
CUAGGAUAGUUUUGAGCUCCUUGAGGCAUGACAGUCCUGGUGUAUUGCUGACGUUCAUGGGUGAAGGCAAACAGAUAUUGACAGGAAGGAUCCAGAGGUACACUGAAAAAAGCAUUAGCCAAAUCCACCACUGUGAAAAUCUUGGAGGUAGGUGGGACAACUGACAGGAGCGUGUGAGGGUUAGGUACAAUGGGGGUUUUCAGAACAGUAGCUUCUUUGACAGCUCUGAGGUCUUGAACCAUUCUGUAUUUUUCGGGCUCACCCUUGGCAGACUUCUUCUUCACGGGGAAUAGAG